Molecule: ribosomal RNA, 494 nt
Filed under: uncultured bacterium
Lineage: Bacteria
Description: partial 16S ribosomal RNA
Rfam family: Bacterial small subunit ribosomal RNA
Source: RNAcentral
GACGAACGCUGGCGGCGUGCUUAACACAUGCCAGUCGAACGGAAAGGCCUGCUUUCCCUUGUGGAUUGCGGGUACUCGAGUGGCGAACGGGUGAGUAACACGUGAGUGAUCUGCCCCCAACUUGGGUAUAAGCCUGGGAAACUGGGUCUAAUUCCCGAUAGGACUGCAGGGUGGUGCCUGUGGUGGAAAACGAUUUUCUAGUGGUUGGGGAUGAGCUCGCGGCCUAUCAGCUUGUUGGUGGGGUAAUGGCCUACCAAGGCGGCGACGGGUAGCCGGCCUGAGAGGGUGGACGGCCACAUUGGGACUGAGAUACGGCCCAGACUCCGACGGGAGGCAGCAGUGGGGAAUAAUGCACAAUGGGCGGAAGCCUGAUGCAGCGACGCCGCGUGGGGGAUGACGGCCUUCGGGUUGUAAACUCCUUUCGACCGCGAGGAAGCCACCUGGUUGGAAGGGUGGUGACGGUAGUGGUAGAAGAAGCACCGGCUAACUACGUG